UGGUAGCGGGUGACUCGUAGCGCGAGUCGGUGAGUUUCGGGACAGUUCGUGGGUCCCGGCGGAGUCCCGGUGCGAUUUUCGGGACUUCCGGCGAGUUACGGUAGUCGGUUUUUGGGAAACCGAUCUCCGUGGGAUUGUUUGUGGGGCUGUGGUUUUAGUGUUUUCUAUAUGUGGGUUAGACACUAGCCCGGUGGACCCUCCUUAAGUCCGGUUGACGUUCUUCCGUAGUCAGAAGAUA
This 238-nucleotide long non-coding RNA is filed under the name Ananas comosus (pineapple). RNAcentral's name for it is "long non-coding RNA (ACOM_LNC003145)". Lineage: Eukaryota; Viridiplantae; Streptophyta; Magnoliopsida; Poales; Bromeliaceae. The record is from RNAcentral.